UUUGAAAUCUCAAGUCGCGAUUU
RNAcentral lists this small nuclear RNA (23 nucleotides) under Arabidopsis thaliana (thale cress). RNAcentral's name for it is "snRNA_13280". The record is from RNAcentral. Lineage: Eukaryota; Viridiplantae; Streptophyta; Magnoliopsida; Brassicales; Brassicaceae.